ACUACGGGUGGCAGCAGUGAGGAAUAUUGGUCAAUGGGCGCGAGUCUGAACCAGCCAAGUAGCGUGAAGGAUGACUGCCCUAUGGGUUGUAAACUUCUUUUAUAUAGGAAUAAAGCGAGGUAUGCGUGCCCUCUUGUAUGUACCAUAUGAAUAAGGAUCGGCUAACUCCGGGCCAGCAGCCGCGGUAAUACGGAGGAUCCGAGCGUUAUCCGGAUUUAUUGGGUUUAAAGGGAGCGUAGGCGGAUUUUUAAGGCAGUGGUGAAAGUCUUGGGCUCAACCGUAAAAUUGCGGUUGAAACUGGGAGGCUUGAGUAUAUUUGAGGCGGGCGGAAGUCGGGGUGUAGCGGUGAAAUGCUUAGAUAUCACGCAGAACCCCGAUUGCGAAGGCAGCCUACCGGGCCAUAACUGACACUGAUGCGCGAAAGCGUGGGUAUCAAACAGGAUUAGAUACCCGAGUAGUC
Molecule: ribosomal RNA, 460 nt
Filed under: uncultured bacterium
Lineage: Bacteria
Description: partial 16S ribosomal RNA
Rfam family: Bacterial small subunit ribosomal RNA
Source: RNAcentral